GAUGAAGAACGUAGCGAAAUGCGAUACGUAAUGUGAAUUGCAGAAUUCAGUGAAUCAUCGAAUCUUUGAACGCACAUUGCGCCCGCCAGCACUCUGGCGGACAUGCCUGUUCGAGCGUCAUUUCAACCCUCAGAACCCCUUUGGGGGAUCUGGCGUUGGGGAUCGGCAGUCCUGCCGGCCCCGAAAUAUAGUGGCGGUCUCUCUGUGACCUUCCCUGUGUAGUAGCGAUACCUCGCAGCGGGAUAGCAGUUUGGCCACGCCGUAAAACACCCAACUUCUCAAGGUUGACCUCGAAUCAGGUAGGAAUACCCGCUGAACUUAAGCAUAUCAAUAAGCGGAGGA
This 342-nucleotide unclassified non-coding RNA is filed under the name soil metagenome. RNAcentral describes it as "partial contains 5.8S ribosomal RNA, internal transcribed spacer 2, and large subunit ribosomal RNA". The stretch from base 1 to 120 matches the Rfam family "5.8S ribosomal RNA", at positions 35 to 154 of the family's 154-position model. The record is from RNAcentral.